RNAcentral lists this ribosomal RNA (253 nucleotides) under uncultured bacterium. Its description in RNAcentral is "partial 16S ribosomal RNA". It matches the Rfam family "Bacterial small subunit ribosomal RNA", at positions 524 to 776 of the family's 1533-position model. The record is from RNAcentral.
UACGGAGGAUGCAAGCGUUAUCCGGAAUUAUUGGGCGUAAAGCGUCCGUAGGUGGCUAUGUAAGUCUGCUGUUAAAGAGUGAGGCUCAACCUCAUAAGAGCAGUGGAAACUACAUGGCUAGAGUGCGUUCGGGGCAGAGGGAAUUCCUGGUGUAGCGGUGAAAUGCGUAGAUAUCAGGAAGAACACCGGUGGCGAAAGCGCUCUGCUAGGCCGCAACUGACACUGAGGGACGAAAGCUAGGGGAGCGAAUGGG